Molecule: non-coding RNA, 640 nt
Filed under: Gossypium hirsutum (cotton)
Lineage: Eukaryota; Viridiplantae; Streptophyta; Magnoliopsida; Malvales; Malvaceae
Description: Eukaryotic large subunit ribosomal RNA
Rfam family: Eukaryotic large subunit ribosomal RNA
Source: Rfam by way of RNAcentral
CCCGCUGAGUUUAAGCAUAUCAAUAAGCGGAGGAAAAGAAACUUACCAGGAUUCCCCUAGUAACAACGAGCGAACAGGGAAAAGCCUAGCUUGAGAAUCGGGCGCCAUCGGCGUUCGAAUUGUAGUCUGGAGAAGCAUCCUCAGCGGCGGACUGGCCCAAGUCCCCUGGAAAAGGGCACCGGAGAGGGUGAGAGCCCCGUUGUGCCCGGACCCUGUCGCACCACGAGGCGUUGUCUACGAGUCGGGUUGUUUUGGAAUGCAGCCCUAAUCGGGCGGUAAAUUCCGUCCAAGGCUAAAUACGGGUGAGAGACCGAUAGUGAACGAGUACCACGAGGGAAAGAUGAAAAGGACUUUGAAAAGAGAGUCAAAGAGUGCUUGAAAUUGUCGGGAGGAAAGCGGAUGGGGGCCGGUGAUGCGCCCCGGUCGGAUGUGGAAUGGCGAGAACCGGUCUACCGAUCGGCUCGGGGCGUGGACCGACGCGGGUCAUGGCAGCGGCCCAAGCCCGGGCCUUUGAUACACCUGUGGAGAUGUCGUCGCCUCGAUCGUGGGAUCCAGCAUGCGCCGUCUCGGCGUGCUUCGGCACCUACGUGCUCCGGGCGUCGGCCUUCGGGCUCCCCAUUCGGCUCGUCUUGAAACACGG